CUCUUUCAAGAUUUUCUGGGAUACUGGAGAAAUUGUUGAAUUAACAGCAGCAUCAUGUUACAAAUGUUUUUGAUCUGUCUCGUCUGGUGUAUCUUUAAAGAGUCAAGUGGAGAAAUUGUGAUCACUCAGACGCCGGCCUUUUUGCACAAAAAUCCUGGGGACAGAAUUGACGUUCAGUGCAAAGCUUCAUCUUCAGUCAGCGGUUAUAUGCAUUUCUAUCAGUUGAUACCAGGACAAAAACCCAAGCUACUGAUUUAUAGCACUAGCAACCGUUUUGGAGGGACCCCAGAUCGCUUCAGUGGCAGUGGCAGUGGCACUGACUACACGUUCACUAUCAAUGGUGUGCGCCCUGAGGAUGAAGGGGAGUAUUACUGUGGCCAAGGUGCCAGCUUCCCUCUACACAGUGAUACACUUCAGUACAAAAACCAGAUCUAA
Non-coding RNA from Anolis sagrei ordinatus, 435 nucleotides. The record is from the annotation of a RefSeq genome assembly. NCBI's taxonomy places the organism in Eukaryota, Metazoa, Chordata, Lepidosauria, Squamata, Anolidae.